ACAAUAUAGCAGGCAGCUCCGCGUUCUGCGCCUGCCCGCUGACCGAGCUCUCUCUCCCGCCUCCGCUUUCCAUCUUCUGCCGUAGAUGGAGUCUCCGUUCCCUGGGCGAGGCGAAGGAGAGGUGCAGAGACAUAUUGGAAUGCAACCUCCACAAAGGAAGGCCUGAGCUGAGAUUUGAAAACUGAAACCCAGAACUGUGAAGCGAAAGUGCCAACCACUAGGGCACUAUAGUGCCAACACUCUUGUUUCCCCGAUCGAACCUGUGUGUACCGACCUUCGUCCGUUCUCCGACCAACCCUGUAAGCCUGACUCCUUGACACUCCUGCCUGCGUUGAUUGGUUCCCCGUGUACCGACUCCUGCCUGUCCGCUCAUCUGCUCUCUUCGCCCGACGUCCCAACUACCGCUGCUGCACCGGACUGCCUGCUCGAUCCCCGACCUCUGCCUACAAUAAACGUGUCUCUUCUUGAACUACCUUGCGUCUUCCGAGUUCCUGCAUUUGGGUCCUACCUCUCGUUCCGAUGGGACGUGACAGAUGCUGUGAUAUUGACUAAUCAGACCCAAGCUGUUUUUCAUACUUUAAUUAUGAAAGAUGAGUAGUAUUGUCUUGAGCAGUGUUUGCCAACUUUUAAUGAGCCGGGGAACAUAUUUUACAUCAGAAGAACUCUCCAGGCACACCACUCAAA
Molecule: long non-coding RNA, 684 nt
Organism: Syngnathoides biaculeatus (alligator pipefish)
Lineage: Eukaryota; Metazoa; Chordata; Actinopteri; Syngnathiformes; Syngnathidae
Exons: 3
Source: RefSeq, a predicted model, not a curated record